Molecule: long non-coding RNA, 637 nt
Organism: Phycodurus eques (leafy seadragon)
Lineage: Eukaryota; Metazoa; Chordata; Actinopteri; Syngnathiformes; Syngnathidae
Exons: 3
Source: RefSeq, a predicted model, not a curated record
AAAGUGACAAACAACGGUGCGCACGCUCGCCACGACACAGGCGCUCUCUCCUCCUUUUCCCCUCUCUUCGGCUGCUGCUCGUUUAUCGGCCUCGUUCUUCCCCGGACGCUUAAAAACGUGGACGAUGAAUAAUAGGACACAAACCCCGAAACGCCUCAUCGGGAUCAGGAUGCACCUGGCACAGGGCGCACGAGCGGAUGCAGGCCACAGCUGUUUCCUGUGCACGCUUCCUGGUUCGCCUUUCCAGAGGCCUGCUGUUUGCGGGUCGUAUUCGUGGACUUGGUGAGGGCGAUGUGGGCGGGUGGAUUCCGAACUUUUCCAGCAUAGAAUACAUCGGCCGCGGCCACAGACUUCCUUCGGCAGCCAGGGGGAUUUCAGCCGGGGAGCUAAUGAGAAGAUAAUGGGCUCAAUCAAUUGUUUCCUGGAUUGAACACACCCUCUACUUUCCUCAUCAACACUUGGAGGCAAGCCAGGGACGCUGCGCUGAGAGAAUCCACUCACUGGACACUUCAUUAAGUACACUUAUCGAAAUCCGAUCGUGCAAAGAUGCUGCUUAGAAGGAAGUUGAAAAGGCAUACUUCAAUAAAGAUCGGGAAUUUUCUCUCUUGUUACUUAAAAAACUGCUUGUUAACUUCUU